GAUGAACGCUGGCGGCGUGCCUAAUACAUGCAAGUCGAGCGAACAGAUGAGGAGCUUGCUCCUCUGACUUUAGCGCCGGACGGGUGAGUAACACGUGGAUAACCUACCUCUAAGACUGGGAUAACUUCGGGAAACCGGAGCUAAUACCGGAUAAUAUAUUGAACCGCAUGGUUCAAUAGUUAAAGACGGUUUUGCUGUCACUUAUAGAUGGAUCCGCGCCGCAUCAGUUAGUUGGUAAGGUAACGGCUUACCAACGCAACGAUGCGUAGACGACCUGAGAGGGUGAACGGCCAGACUGGCAGUGAGACAGGGUCCAGACUCCUGCGGGAAGCAGCAGUAGGGAAUCUUCCGCAAGGGGGCAAAGCCGGACGGAGGAACGCCGCGGGAGUGAUGAAGGUCUUCGGAUCGGAAAACGCUGUUAGUAGUAAAGUACAAAUGUGUAAGUAACUAGGAACGUCUUGACGGUACCUGAUCAGAAAGCCACGGCUAACUACGUG
This 497-nucleotide ribosomal RNA is filed under the name uncultured bacterium. Its description in RNAcentral is "partial 16S ribosomal RNA". It matches the Rfam family "Bacterial small subunit ribosomal RNA", at positions 28 to 507 of the family's 1533-position model. The record is from RNAcentral.